Marmota flaviventris (yellow-bellied marmot) is the source of this 5096-nucleotide non-coding RNA. NCBI's taxonomy places the organism in Eukaryota, Metazoa, Chordata, Mammalia, Rodentia, Sciuridae. The record is from RefSeq and is a predicted model, not a curated record.
GGCGGCAGCAGUGUCUCCGGGACUCGCGUGGAGGUCGGUCACUCUGAGUCAGUCGCUGCGCUGUUUCUCCGCCUGCUGCUUCAGCGCGGCUGUACCAGCGAGCGAGCUCGUUGUUGGGAGUCGUUCGCGGCGCUGCCUCCUUCUCGUAGCCGCCGCGGACUGGCUGCUCGUUCUUUCGCUCGAUUGCUGCCCCUCUCCGCUGCCUCGAGGCGCUUUCCAUUGGGCCAGUUCCCUCCCGCUUCCUCCUGCUCCCCAUCGAAGCUCUAGAGAUGAAUUUUUCCAUCUCUUUAGAGAUGAACCAGAUUAUGAUGCAUCUUUGUCACAGAAGAAAUUCGUGUCUAUAGCUUUUAAGGACUUGAUUACAUCAUUUUCAAGCCUGAUAGUUUUGGAACCACCAUUAGAGCUUAAGACACAUCUACCUUUACUUCAGCUACCUGUCUUCAUACCUUGACUAAGUGCUUCAUUUCAUCACUCCUUUGCCUUUGGAUUAUUUGCAUUCCCAGUAAUACAUUUCUUCCAGUAUAGUAGCCAAAUUUAUAAGGAAAAAUGAUUCCCAAUGGAUAUUUGAUGUUUGAAGAUGAAAAUUUUAUUGAGUCUUCUGUUGCCAAAUUAAAUGCCCUGAGGAAAAGUGGCCAGUUCUGUGAUGUUCGACUUCAGGUCUGUGGUCAUGAGAUGUUAGCACACAGAGCAGUACUAGCUUGUUGCAGUCCCUAUUUAUUUGAAAUCUUUAAUAGUGAUAGUGAUCCUCAUGGAGUUUCUCAUGUUAAAUUUGAUGAUCUCAAUCCAGAAGCUGUUGAAGUCUUGUUGAAUUAUGCCUACACUGCUCAGUUGAAAGCUGAUAAGGAAUUGGUGAAAGAUGUUUAUUCUGCAGCAAAAAAGCUGAAGAUGGACCGAGUAAAGCAGGUUUGUGGUGAUUAUUUACUGUCUCGGAUGGAUAUUACCAGCUGCAUCUCUUACCGAAAUUUUGCAAGUUGUAUGGGAGACUCCCGUUUGUUAAAUAAGGUUGAUGCUUAUAUUCAGGAGCAUUUGUUACAAAUUUCAGAAGAGGAAGAAUUUCUUAAGCUUCCCCGACUAAAGUUGGAGGUAAUGCUAGAAGAUAAUGUUUGCUUGCCCAGCAAUGGCAAAUUGUAUACAAAGGUAAUCAACUGGGUGCAGCGUAGCAUCUGGGAGAAUGGAGACAGUCUGGAAGAGCUGAUGGAAGAGGUUUAUUAACAAAACUAGGAUACCCAAGACUGAAGAAACAAGAAGAAACCUCAAGUGUAUUGACACGUAAAGAAGCAGCAGUCCUGCCCCAGUUCUCCUAAGAAAAAUCCGCUGUGGGCAGAGAACGAUGAUGAUUUAAUGGUGUUUACUCCUUUACAGGAUUCUUAUCUCUAAAGCUUUGUGUUUUUCAAUGGUGUUGUUAAUACAUAAAGUCACUCAUUUAACUUGGGCUACUUUUAAAAAAUACAUAAGAAAAAAAUUGAUACAGAAAUGGUGGGAAUUAAAAAUAUACAGGUGGAGCAGUGGAGUAACCUUGAGUUUAUUGCUCCCCAUAAACCUUUCAGGAUCAAUAAAGGAUUACCAAAUCUGUUAGUCCUAUAAAAAUACUGUUGUCAUUAUGUUCUAAAAAGGCUAACAGUUGAUCUUUAAGUUCUGUGAUUUCCCACUUAUCAGAUGCGCUAGCCAUAUAUUUGCAUCUGUUAAAAGAGGAUAACUACAGCUUGCUUGAAUUUUUGCUUUUUUUUUUUAUGUUUUUCUUGACAUUACCUACAAGAGAGAAGUAUGUUUAUACAAAUCAGACCAUUUAUCUUCAAAGGUGUAAACUAUUCAAUAGUUUUUUGUAAAUAUGUAUAUUCUUUAAGAGUCUAUAAAUUGUACUAGUGCCUUUUUUCUUAAUGUAAUAGAAGCUAUGAAACAAAUGAAGAUUUCUUUCAAGCCAGUCAAGCCAAGGACUCUUCAGCCAGUAUUGGAAGAUUUUGUAUUUGCUUUUGCUUUUUUGUUUUUGCUUUUUAAAUUUUUACCACCAUGACAUGUAUUUUUCUUUACUUCGGAAUCCUGCCAGAGUAAGAAGUCAAGAAGCUCAAGAACCACACUGGAGGUUACCUUGAGGCGUUUGUGUAAUCUGCAUACUAGUGGAGUAGCCAUGGUGACAGUAGCCACAUGGGUGUUCUGUUGCUGUUUUGCAGGUUCAAACCUUGUACUACUCAGCUGAUCACAAGCUGCUUGAUGGGAACCUACUAGAUGGACAGGCUGAGGUCUUUGGCAGUGAUGAUGACCACAUUCAGUUUGUGCAGAAAAAGCCACCACGUGAGAAUGGCCAUAAGCAGAUAAGUAGCAGUUCCACUGGAUGUCUCUCUUCUCCAAAUGCUACAGUACAAAGCCCUAAGCAUGAGUGGAAAAUCGUUGCUUCGGAGAAGACUUCGAAUAACACUUACUUGUGCCUAGCUGUGCUGGAUGGUAUCUUCUGUGUGAUCUUCCUUCAUGGUCGAAAUAGCCCACAGAGCUCACCAACAAGUACUCCAAAACUAGUCAAGAGUUUAAGCUUUGAGAUGCAGCCAGAUGAACUAAUAGAAAAGCCCAUGUCUCCCAUGCAGUAUGCACGAUCUGGUUUGGGUACAGCAGAGAUGAAUGGCAAACUCAUAGCUGCAGGUGGCUAUAACAGAGAAGAAUGUCUUCGAACAGUUGAAUGCUACGAUCCACAUACAGAUCAUUGGUCCUUCCUUGCUCCCAUGAGAACGCCAAGAGCUCGAUUUCAAAUGGCUGUACUCAUGGGUCAGCUCUAUGUGGUAGGUGGAUCAAACGGCCACUCAGAUGACCUGAGUUGUGGAGAGAUGUAUGAUCCAAACAUCGAUGACUGGACUCCUGUUCCAGAGUUGAGAACUAAUCGUUGUAAUGCAGGAGUGUGUGCUCUCAAUGGAAAGUUAUACAUUGUUGGUGGCUCUGAUCCAUAUGGUCAAAAGGGGCUGAAAAAUUGUGAUGUAUUUGAUCCUGUAACAAAGUCAUGGACAAGCUGUGCUCCUCUUAACAUUCGUAGACACCAGUCUGCAGUCUGUGAACUUGGUGGUUAUCUGUACAUAAUUGGAGGUGCAGAGUCUUGGAAUUGUCUGAACACAGUAGAACGUUACAAUCCUGAAAAUAACACCUGGACUUUAAUUGCACCCAUGAAUAUAGCGAGGCGAGGAGCUGGGGUAGCUGUUCUUGAUGGAAAACUGUUUGUAGGUGGUGGUUUUGAUGGUUCUCAUGCUAUCAGUUGUGUGGAGAUGUAUGAUCCAACUAGAAAUGAAUGGAAGAUGAUGGGAAAUAUGACUUCACCAAGGAGCAAUGCUGGGAUCACAACUGUAGGGAGUACCAUUUAUGCAGUGGGAGGAUUUGAUGGCAAUGAAUUUUUGAAUACGGUCGAAGUCUAUAACCUUGAGUCAAAUGAGUGGAGCCCUUACACAAAGAUUUUCCAGUUUUAACACAUUUUAAGACCCUCUCAAACUAACAGGCUUAGUGAUGUAAUUGUGUUUAGUAGAGGUACACUUGUGAAUAAGGAGGGUGGGUGGGUAUAGAUGUUGCUAACAGCAACACAAAGCUUUUGCAUAUUGCAUAUUAUUACAUGCUGUACAUACUUUUUUGUGUUUGGAAAGGAAUGCAAAGAUGAUUUUUUUUGUGUGUAUUUUUAAGACUUCUUUGGUUAUUUUACUUUUUGGAAAUUGAUAUUGUAAAAGAAUAAACCAAGAAUUGAUUGGGCACAUCAUUUCAAGAAAUCCCCUCUCCUCCACAUUUGUUUUGCCAAUUUGCACAUUAAAUGACUCUUCCCUCAAAUGUGUAUUAUGGGGCAAGAGGGGGUAGGGUUUAAAGAUGUAGGCAGUUGGGUUUUUUAAGGGCCCUUUUUCAAUAACUGGAACACUCUAUAACAAAAGAUACUUAUUUAAAUAGAAGACAAUAACUAUUUUUGUUUUUAUUAAAAGAAAGCUAACUUGCCUACCAAUAUUUAAUCUUUUAUGAUUGCCUUUUUAUAACUUUUUAUAUUCUCAGCAGAGUGCUUUACCUGUUGAAGUAAAAUAUGGCAGAUUCAAGUUAGUGAAGCAGAGUGGCAAUCUUAAAGGAUGCAGAGUGGAGUGAUUCUUUUAAAUGCUCAGAAUGCAAACUUUUAAGCAUUUGGCUCAGCUGCAUUUUUUUUUUUCUUCUGAGAAUGCAGUACCAACGUUUUUUUGAAUGGAGUUGCUGAACAGUAACAUAGUGAUGAUUUUUGGUAUUUGAAACACUGGUUUGAAGUAUUUUGAUUUGUUGAGGGUAUAGUUUAUUCAGCAAGAGAUUUAACUAUAUAAAAGAACAGUGAAGUAUUUGAUCUUCCAUAAUUCUGCUUUUAUUUAUCAUUAACAAAAGAAUACUAAACAGAAGCCCUUGAUUGAAAAAGUUUAAACUGUGUUGGGUUUGUGAAUGCAGCCUUUAUCAGAACUACAUUUUUGCUCAGUUUUUUUUUUUUUGCUCAUAUGGAUAAAUCUGGGGGAUGAUUUGGUGUCUAAUGUGUAGUGUUACACGCCUAACUGAUGGUGCCAAACUUAGCACGUCCUAAUGCUUGCUGCAGAUGCAAACACAUUAAAGGUACUUUGCAGGAAAUCCUUGCACCAUGGGAUUAAUACCCAGUUGUUUGUGUACUCAUUCAUUACUAAAAGUUUGGGGGAAAAUUUUUCAGUGAGGAAGAGUUAAAGCAUUUGGGGAAAAUACCCACCUGGCAUAUUACAUCUGAAAGAAAUGGAUAAUGUAAGGUGUUUUUUCUUGUCACAGACAAUGAAACACAGGAACCUAAUGAGCCAUGUAGGAUGAGAGGACUAUUCAGUAGCUAACUUGGGUUAGGAAAAAAAAUUGAAUAUUUUCUUGAAAUAUGUUGGUACUCUGGUACUUUGCCACCUUUCUCUCAUCUGUUUUUACAGAAAACCAAGAAAGGAAAUCAGUUCACCUGGUUACUGUGUAGUUCCUGACUAACCAUCUGUCUCUGGUUUGUUUCUGAACUAAAACGAGAAGUUUAAAUUUGAAUUUGCCUACUAGGAUGACUGUUGUUUAUGGAUCUGUGUUUGUUCUAUUCAGCACAAGGAAAUAAAGUUUAAGUUGAGGAUUCAGCACUAAAA